GAUGAACGCUGGCGGCGUGCCUAAUACAUGCAAGUCGAGCGAACGGACGAGAAGCUUGCUUCUCUGAUGUUAGCGGCGGACGGGUGAGUAACACGUGGAUAACCUACCUAUAAGACUGGGAUAACUUCGGGAAACCGGAGCUAAUACCGGAUAAUAUUUUGAACCGCAUGGUUCAAAAGUGAAAGACGGUCUUGCUGUCACUUAUAGAUGGAUCCGCGCUGCAUUAGCUAGUUGGUAAGGUAACGGCUUACCAAGGCAACGAUGCAUAGCCGACCUGAGAGGGUGGUCGGGCACACUGGAACUGAGACACGGUCCAGACUCCUGCGGGAGGCAGCAGUAGGGAAUCUUCCGCAAUGGGCGAAAGCCUGACGGAGCAACGCCGCGUGAGUGAUGAAGGUCUUCGGAUCGUAAAACUCUGUUAUUAGGGAAGAACAUAUGUGUAAGUAACUGUGCACAUCUUGACGGUACCUAAUCAGAAAGCCACGGCUAACUACGU
RNAcentral lists this ribosomal RNA (496 nucleotides) under uncultured bacterium. RNAcentral's name for it is "partial 16S ribosomal RNA". It matches the Rfam family "Bacterial small subunit ribosomal RNA", at positions 28 to 506 of the family's 1533-position model. The record is from RNAcentral.